RNAcentral lists this ribosomal RNA (496 nucleotides) under uncultured bacterium. RNAcentral's name for it is "partial 16S ribosomal RNA". It matches the Rfam family "Bacterial small subunit ribosomal RNA", at positions 30 to 523 of the family's 1533-position model. The record is from RNAcentral.
AUUGAACGCUGGCGGAAUGCUUUACACAUGCAAGUCGAACGGUAGAGGGGGCAACCCCUCGAGAGUGGCGAACGGGUGAGUAAUAUAUCGGAACGUGCCCAGUCGUGGGGGAUAACGUAGCGAAAGUUACGCUAAUACCGCAUACGAUCUAAGGAUGAAAGCGGGGGAUCGCAAGACCUCGCGCGAUUGGAGCGGCCGAUAUCAGAUUAGGUAGUUGGUGGGGUAAAGGCUCACCAAGCCAACGAUAGGUAGCUGGUCUGAGAGGACGACCAGCCACACUGGAACUGAGACACGGUCCAGACUCCUACGGGAGGCAGCAGUGGGGAAUUUUGGACAAUGGACGCAAGUCUGAUCCAGCCAUUCCGCGUGCAGGAUGAAGGCCCUCGGGUUGUAAACUGCUUUUGUACGGAACGAAAAGGUCUCUCUUAAUACGGGGGACUCAUGACGGUACCGUAAGAAUAAGCACCGGCUAACUACGUGCCAGCAGCCGCCGUAA